GCCUCAGUAGCGGCGAGUGAAGCGGCAAGAGCUCAGAUUUGAAAUCUCACCUAGUGUGCGAGUUGUAAAUUGCAGGUUGGAGUCUCGGGUUAGACGUGUGUGCAAGUCCCUUGGAACAGGGUGCCACUGAGGGUGAGAGCCCCGUAGCGUGCAUGUCGACACCUGUGAGGCCCUUCUGACGAGUCGAGUUGUUUGGGAAUGCAGCUCUAAGUGGGUGGUAAAUUCCAUCUAAGGCUAAAUAUUGGCGAGAGACCGAUAGCGAACAAGUACUGUGAAGGAAAGAUGAAAAGCACUUUGAAAAGAGAGUGAAACAGCACGUGAAAUUGUUGAAAGGGAAGGGUAUUGGGCUCGACAUGGGAUUUACGCAUCGUUGCCUCUCGUGGGCGGCGCUCUGGGUUUUUCCUGGGCCAGCAUCGGUUUUCGUUGCAGGAUAAGGACAAUUGGAAUGUGGCUCCUCGGAGUGUUAUAGCCUUUUGUAGAUGCUGCGUAUGGGGACCGAGGGCUGCGGCGGACUCGUUUCGUCUCGGAUGCUGGCACAACGGCGCAAUACCGCCCGUCUUGAAACACGGACCAAA
Molecule: ribosomal RNA, 575 nt
Filed under: Pichia kluyveri
Lineage: Eukaryota; Fungi; Ascomycota; Pichiomycetes; Pichiales; Pichiaceae
Description: eukaryotic LSU rRNA
Rfam family: Eukaryotic large subunit ribosomal RNA
Source: RNAcentral